AGCCCGGAUCGCUUGUUUUUUUUUUUAAACCUUCCACUGCCUAUCUGAGGCAUCUAACGUCUCGCGAGCUGCUACGCUGAUCAGCAGAGGGAUCCUACCGAGAGGCUCAGGGAGCUUUGAUUGCGAGAAAAAGAUUAAAUAUUAAUUGAUAUUACUUAGACGUCCCACAAAUUCUCCUUGAUCAAUGUCCCUCUGUGUAUUAAUUAUCAUAUUUCAAUAACCCCUUCUUGCUAUUUGGUCCCUUAUUUUGCCAAUUGUCCCGAUUUGAGUCUAUGCAAUCUCAAAUAGGACUUGCUCACUGGUACUCCGUACUCCAACCUGCAUGAGAGAAACUCUGAGAGUAAAAAUUCUCAUCUCUUUUCUUCAGAGAGAUUGUCAAAGCCUUUCUAGUUUCUGUAAAAUCACGGAUACUAAUACGACCUGUUGUAUUGUUUCAAUUUAUCUACUAUCUCUUAUUCUUUAUUUCAGUAUUGCUACAGAUGAGUGUUGAGAAGUUACUUUGCUAGAAAAUCACCAAUUCAUAGCUGCAUGUAAUCAGCCAUGGGACUUAUGGUUUGCUCAAGGUUUUCAAGAACCAGUUUACUGCUCCCUUUACACCUUCAUACGUGUGAGAUCGGUUGAUCGUGCGCGAAAAGAUAGUAGAGAUAAGGAUGUAGAAAUAGAAAUAGGUAAUAUUUAUCAACCAGCU
Molecule: small RNA, 688 nt
Filed under: Histoplasma capsulatum var. duboisii H88
Lineage: Eukaryota; Fungi; Ascomycota; Eurotiomycetes; Onygenales; Ajellomycetaceae
Description: Histoplasma capsulatum H88 hypothetical RNA
Source: RNAcentral